RNAcentral lists this small RNA (876 nucleotides) under Histoplasma ohiense. Its description in RNAcentral is "hypothetical lncRNA". Lineage: Eukaryota; Fungi; Ascomycota; Eurotiomycetes; Onygenales; Ajellomycetaceae. The record is from RNAcentral.
CCCCCCGGGAGUUUUGUAGAAAUGUUGAUGUCGACCUUUGUUAACUAGCACUUCAAGCAUAUCUGGGUACUUGGCCUCCAUCCAAAUAGAACUGGAUGAUAUCUCCGUGCCAGGCCUAUGGCAAACGCCUGCUAUACUGAUUAGUGUACCGAGCACUCAAAACCCUCAUCUAACCUCUUCCCUUUGGUCUACAUGGAAUUGGACGUGGAAACGAAGUAGUAAUGAUAGCGUGGUUAUCUUUUUUCAAGGUCUCCACCCAGUCCAUUAUUUCAAGCCCUGUCAGGCUACCGCUUGCCGCCUCUCUCGGCGCACUUCUCCGUCCAUCCUUUAGCGAAAACGACAUCCAGUAGUACGACACUAGCAUCUUGGUGAUUCCUGGCACCCUCGAUAGUUGGAAUAUACAGCGUGAAGAUAAAACACGGAGCUUCAGAGAAGCCAGUUUUUCAAAGAAACUUUGGCGGGAACCCCAGCUAAAAUCCCCCAAUAUCACAUGAGCUUUAUUUUAUACAAUCAAAGUGACCAACGGUUUUAUGCAAAGAUGAUCGGGUUCUUGGAUCGAUUACUUCGGAUCGUUAAGAAGGGUCACACGGGUCUCUUUUGUGGGCUAGUGUGAGGUUCUAUCUAGCUGCGGAUGCGAAUAAUUUUGAUAUCAUACCAAGGGAUGGUUGAAUCUAUUUUUUAUAUCACAAGCUCUUUUCUUUUUCUUAACUGCUUUGUUUUUAGACUUAUUGAACACUUUUUCCAAGUUCGCCACAUAUAUUUAUAUUGGAUAUGGGUGUAUGUAUACUAGUAGCGCAAUAAAUCAUGAUAAAUGACUUCUCGAGUCAUGAUCCAGUGAAGUGAGACAACGAAUAUCUGGCAUUUCAUUAGCUGAGC